This 161-nucleotide ribosomal RNA is filed under the name uncultured bacterium. RNAcentral's name for it is "partial 16S rRNA". It matches the Rfam family "Bacterial small subunit ribosomal RNA", at positions 358 to 511 of the family's 1533-position model. The record is from RNAcentral.
GGAAUCUUCCGCAAUGGGCGAAAGCCUGAUGGAGCAACGCCGCGUGUGUGAUGAAGGGUUUCGGCUCGUAAAACACUGUUGUAAGAGAAGAAUGACAUUGAGAGUAACUGUUCAAUGUGUGACGGUAUCUUACCAGAAAGGAACGGCUAAAUACGUGCCAG